CCUACGGGAGGCAGCAGUGAGGAAUAUUGGUCAAUGGACGCAAGUCUGAACCAGCCAAGCCGCGUGCAGGAAGACGGCUCUAUGAGUUGUAAACUGCUUUUGUACGAGGGUAAACGCAGAUACGCGUAUCUGUCUGAAAGUAACGUACGAAUAAGGAGCGGCUAACUCCGUGCCAGCAUCCGCGGUAAUACGGAGGAUUCAAGCGUUAUCCGGAUUGAUUGGGUUUAAAGGGUGCGUAGGAGGUCGGAUAAGUUAGAGGUUAAAUCCCGAGGCUCAACUUCGGAAUUGCCUGUGAUACGGUUCGGUUAGAGUGUAGUUGCGGUAGUCGGAAUGUCUGGUGUAGCUGCGACAUGCUU
Molecule: ribosomal RNA, 356 nt
Filed under: uncultured bacterium
Lineage: Bacteria
Description: partial 16S ribosomal RNA
Rfam family: Bacterial small subunit ribosomal RNA
Source: RNAcentral